GGGGAUGUAGCUCAAUUGGUAGAGCGAUGAUCAAAGCUUGACAUAGGUACUGUGUUCAAUUCCUCGCAUCUUCA
RNAcentral lists this transfer RNA (74 nucleotides) under Setaria italica (foxtail millet). It matches the Rfam family "tRNA". From Rfam's summary of the family: Transfer RNA (tRNA) molecules are approximately 80 nucleotides in length. Lineage: Eukaryota; Viridiplantae; Streptophyta; Magnoliopsida; Poales; Poaceae. The record is from Rfam by way of RNAcentral.